GCUGGUGUGGCUCAGAGGUAGAGCACUUCCUUGGUAAGGAAGGGGUCACGGGUUCGAUUCCCGUCACCAGCU
This 72-nucleotide transfer RNA is filed under the name Pseudobutyrivibrio sp. OR37. RNAcentral describes it as "tRNA_Thr_GGT". It matches the Rfam family "tRNA". Rfam says of the family: Transfer RNA (tRNA) molecules are approximately 80 nucleotides in length. Lineage: Bacteria; Bacillati; Bacillota; Clostridia; Lachnospirales; Lachnospiraceae. The record is from RNAcentral.